CCUACGGGCGACAGCAGUGGGGGAUAUUGCACAAUGGGGGGAACCCUGAUGCAGCGACGCCGCGUGAGCGAUGGAGUACUUCGGUAUGUAAAGCUCUGUCAGCAGGGAAGAAAAUGACGGUACCUGACCAAGAAGCCCCGGCUAAAUACGUGCCAGCAGCCGCGGUAAUACGUAUGGGGCAAGCGUUAUCCGGAUUUACUGGGUGUAAAGGGAGCGUAGGCGGCAGGGCAAGCCUGAAGUGAAAGGCGGGGGCCCAACCCCUGGACUGCUUUGGGAACUGUACGGCUGGAGUGCAGGAGAGGUAAGUGGAAUUCCUAGUGUAGCGGUGAAAUGCGUAGAUAUUAGGAGGAACACCAGUGGCGAAGGCGGCUUACUGGACUGUAACUGACGUUGAGGCUCGAAAGCGUGGGGAGCAAACAGGAUUAGAUACCCGGGUAGUC
This 440-nucleotide ribosomal RNA is filed under the name uncultured bacterium. Its description in RNAcentral is "partial 16S ribosomal RNA". It matches the Rfam family "Bacterial small subunit ribosomal RNA", at positions 338 to 795 of the family's 1533-position model. The record is from RNAcentral.